GGAGCGAUGGCAGAGCGGUCGAAUGCGGCGGUCUUGAAAACCGUUGCGCCGCAAGGCGCCGUGGGUUCGAAUCCCACUCGCUCCG
This 85-nucleotide transfer RNA is filed under the name Treponema sp. RNAcentral describes it as "tRNA-Ser". It matches the Rfam family "tRNA". Rfam says of the family: Transfer RNA (tRNA) molecules are approximately 80 nucleotides in length. Their secondary structure includes four short double-helical elements and three loops (D, anti-codon, and T loops). The record is from RNAcentral. Lineage: Bacteria; Pseudomonadati; Spirochaetota; Spirochaetia; Treponematales; Treponemataceae.